UUUCCAAAGUUUGCAUGUUAACUUUAAAUGCUUACAAUCUUAGAGUGGUAGGCAAUGUUUUACACUAUUGACCUUAUAUAGGGAAGGGAGGGGGUGCCUGUGGGGUUUUAAAGAAUUUUCCUUUGCAGAGGCAUUUCAUCCUUCAUGAAGCCAUUCAGGAUUUUGAAUUGCAUAUGAGUGCUUGGCUCUUCCUUCUGUUCUAACUUCACAGAGAAUGCAGUUGUCUUGACUUCAGGUCUGUCUGUUCUGUUGGCAAGUAAAUGCAGUACUGUUCUGAUCCCGCUGCUAUUAGAAUGCAUUGUGAAACGACUGGAGUAUGAUUAAAAGUUGUGUUCCCCAAUGCUUGGAGUAGUGAUUGUUGAAGGAAAAAAUCCAGCUGAGUGAUAAAGGCUGAGUGUUGAGGAAAUUUCUGCAGUUUUAAGCAGUCGUAUUUGUGAUUGAAGCUGAGUACAUUUUGCUGGUGUAUUUUUAGGUAAAAUGCUUUUUGUUCAUUUCUGGUGGUGGGAGGGGACUGAAGCCUUUAGUCUUUUCCAGAUGCAACCUUAAAAUCAGUGACAAGAAACAUUCCAAACAAGCAACAGUCUUCAAGAAAUUAAACUGGCAAGUGGAAAUGUUUAAACAGUUCAGUGAUCUUUAGUGCAUUGUUUAUGUGUGGGUUUCUCUCUCCCCUCCCUUGGUCUUAAUUCUUACAUGCAGGAACACUCAGCAGACACACGUAUGCGAAG
Molecule: long non-coding RNA, 725 nt
Filed under: Homo sapiens (human)
Lineage: Eukaryota; Metazoa; Chordata; Mammalia; Primates; Hominidae
Description: non-protein coding MALAT1:36
Source: RNAcentral